AAAUGGUGAUGGGGACAUUAGUUUAUGAGGGGAUUAUAAUGUUCCCAAGCUUCAUAAAACAAUUCACCAUGUUGCUGUGUGAAGAAGUAGAUUUUAUCCCUUAAUUU
Small nucleolar RNA from Prosopis cineraria, 107 nucleotides. The record is from RefSeq and is a predicted model, not a curated record. NCBI's taxonomy places the organism in Eukaryota, Viridiplantae, Streptophyta, Magnoliopsida, Fabales, Fabaceae.